RNA transcript from Physeter macrocephalus (sperm whale), 4967 nucleotides. It is a transcript of the gene named phosphodiesterase 1A, with no coding region annotated. The record is from RefSeq and is a predicted model, not a curated record. NCBI's taxonomy places the organism in Eukaryota, Metazoa, Chordata, Mammalia, Artiodactyla, Physeteridae. The transcript has 16 exons.
UGUACAACUUUUAUUUUGAAGAAAAAAGUUGAGCCUCAGAACGGGCUGUUUUAAAGACAGGGAGGGACUUAGCUUUUCCGAGCUUGACCAGCAUGUGGAAGGAGUGCUCUCAUGGCUGCAAUAACCUAGGGAGCUCCUACCUGGGUGCCACGGGGGUAGGAAGGUUUCUGUUUGUUUUCUUCUGUUUCUGAGGGUCCUGUGCACUUCUCUUGUCCCUGUCAACGUGACUCGGUGUUUUUGCACACCCUGCUCUGUCGGGGAGUGCCCCAACGUGCCUGUCUUAUGUGGCCUCUAUGGACACACUGCUCAGCUGGCAGAGAGCAGGGAAGUUUUCUCGAGCACCCAAAAAGAGAAAGAGAAAACUACUUUUUCCUUCUGGGCUCCUUGCAGCACAAUAGAUCAGGAUAAGCUUCCACAUUCUCUCCCUGGAUUUCUGGAGUGGUUUCCAGGAACAAGUUAAACUUUCACCUUUAAAUGGAUGACCAUGUCACAAUCAGGAGGAAACAUCUCCAAAGACCCAUCUUUAGACUAAGAUGCUUAGUGAAGCAGCUGGAAAAAGGUGAUGUUAACAUCGUAGACUUAAAGAAGAAUAUUGAAUAUGCAGCAUCUGUGCUGGAAGCAGUUUACAUCGAUGAAACAAGAAGACUGCUGGAUACUGAUGAUGAGCUCAGUGACAUUCAGUCGGAUUCGGUCCCAUCGGAAGUCCGGGACUGGUUGGCUUCCACCUUUACACGGAAAAUGGGGAUGAUGAAAAAGAAAUCUGAGGAAAAACCAAGAUUUCGGAGCAUUGUGCAUGCUGUUCAAGCUGGAAUUUUUGUGGAAAGAAUGUACAGAAAAUCCUAUCACAUGGUUGGGUUGGCAUAUCCAGAAGCUGUCAUAGUAACAUUAAAGGAUGUUGAUAAAUGGUCUUUUGAUGUAUUUGCCUUGAAUGAAGCAAGUGGAGAACAUAGUCUGAAGUUUAUGAUUUAUGAACUAUUUACCAGAUAUGAUCUUAUCAACCGUUUCAAGAUUCCUGUUUCUUGCCUAAUUGCCUUUGCAGAAGCUUUAGAAGUUGGUUACAGCAAGUACAAAAAUCCGUAUCACAAUUUGAUUCAUGCAGCUGAUGUCACUCAAACUGUGCAUUACAUAAUGCUUCAUACAGGUAUAAUGCACUGGCUCACUGAACUGGAAACUUUAGCAAUGGUCUUUGCCGCUGCCAUUCAUGAUUAUGAGCAUACGGGAACUACAAACAAUUUUCAUAUUCAGACAAGAUCAGAUGUUGCCAUUUUGUAUAAUGAUCGCUCCGUCCUUGAAAAUCACCAUGUGAGUGCAGCUUAUCGACUUAUGCAAGAAGAAGAAAUGAAUGUCCUGGUAAAUUUAUCCAAAGAUGACUGGAGGGAUCUUCGGAACCUAGUGAUUGAAAUGGUUUUGUCUACAGACAUGUCGGGUCACUUCCAGCAAAUUAAAAAUAUAAGAAACAGUUUGCAGCAGCCUGAAGGGCUUGACAAAGCCAAAACCAUGUCCCUGAUCCUCCAUGCAGCAGACAUCAGUCAUCCAGCCAAAUCCUGGCAGCUGCACCACCGAUGGACCAUGGCCCUGAUGGAGGAGUUUUUCCUACAGGGAGAUAAAGAAGCUGAAUUAGGGCUUCCAUUUUCCCCACUUUGUGAUCGGAAGUCAACGAUGGUGGCCCAGUCCCAAAUAGGUUUCAUUGAUUUCAUAGUAGAGCCAACAUUUUCUCUUCUGACAGACUCAACAGAGAAAAUUAUUAUUCCUCUUAUAGAGGAAGACUCAAAAACCAAAACUCCUUCCUAUGGAGCAAGCAGACGAUCAAAUAUGAAAGGCACCGUGAAUGAUGGAACCUAUUCCCCAGACUACUCCCUUGCAAGCGUGGACCUGAAGAGCUUCAAAAACAACCUGGUGGACAUCAUCCAGCAGAACAAAGAGAGGUGGAAAGAGUUAGCUGCUCAAGGUGAGCCUGAUCUUCAUAAGAAUUCAGAAGAUCUAGUAAGUGCCGAAGAAAAACAUGCUGAGACACAUUCAUAGGUUUGAAACACCUUAAAGGCUUCUGUCAUUUUAAACAUGAGAGGUGAAUGGAUAAAGAAGAUGUGGCACAUAUAUACAAUGGAAUAUAACUCAGCCAUAAAAAGAAACGAAAUUGAGUUAUUUGUAGUGAGGUGGAUGGACCUAGAGACUGUCAUACAGAGUGAAGAUAAUGAGAACAGCACUAAAAUAUCCUAAAUCCUCAAUUUUCCACAAACCUAUAUUCUCCUCUUUCAACACACACUUGGAAACAGGCCAUUUUAUGGACUCAUAUAAGAGAAGAACAUAAAUUCUGAACUAGUAAUUCUAGCCAAAUAAAUACACUCAAAGUUGCUACCAGAGAUUUUGGCCAGUGCUUCUGCCAUUGCUCUUCCUCCACAAUUUGGCCUUCUUCAAUCAAGCCAGAGAAAAUUUUAAGACAAAAGUUGGACAGUUUUAAUUUUUCAUCAGUUUGAACCCAGUUAUUGCACAGGCAACUAUGCAAUAUGUGUGCAGAAGAUGAGGCAUUUUAAAAUGUUACUUUCUUGCUUUGUUUUAUACAGAGUGCUGUAACUACAGUAAAUUUUUUAAGAUGUUAAGUAAAAGGAAAGCAAAAACAAAAUUAUAGAAAAAUAUUUUUUGCAGCUCUGAGGCUAUUUCGAUUGUCCUUGUUAUUUUAAAUACAUGGGAACAAAGUGAGAGCCUGGGCUGCUCAGAAGCUGUGGUUGAAGUCCUAUAACAACAAUGGAGCAUCAGAGCUCUGGCUCUGUGACCUGAUGAACUCUUCAUUGUAACUCUCAAGCUGGGAAACCACAGUGAAACCUGCCCCUGAAAGCAGUGGACCAGCCUGCAUCCAUCCCUGUGAUUUCAAGGCACUAAUGCAUCACCUACAUGGGUGUCAUCACAAUGCAAGUCACACAUUACCUACGAUCCAAGAUGACAAGAACCUCCAGCCAUUGUUGGAGACAGACACUAGAACUGAGAAUGGAAUUUGCCUUCUGGGGUGUUGAUCCCAUCAGGAUGUAACAAAAUAUAUCACAGGCCAAGGGAUAAGUGACAAGAAGUGUGUGUGCGUGCGUGUCUGUGUGUGUAUUCAAAAAUGUCUAUGAAAAUGGAAUCCUACACUUUUCUGUACAGAUAAUGUUAUUUGACGUGAGUUUAUAAUUUUACCACACAGAAACAAACUGCAACCCUUGGAGACUCUGCUUCCUUGUCAUGUUUUGCCUGAGCAUGUGCAGAGCCUUGCCUUUGCUCCAAACUGAAGAGCUACAUUUAUUUGUUAUUAGCUGACAAGAAAGGUCAAGCACAAGUAGGUGUUGUAACUUUUCACUGUACAAACUCUUCAAUGAUUGUGAGACUAAGCGAAUUUGUCUUUGUGAAUGGUAGAAUUGGGUGGAAAAAAUUAAGAGUAGCCAUCAAUUAAAGAAUAAAGUGAAGGUGGGUUGUCCAUCCUAAUGAGUUUUCUGUUGCACAUGCUUCUUCCCUGGGUUCCACAAUGCUAAGCAAUAUUUUAGAAAUGGAUGCAAUCACAAGCUUUUAAGUCUAAGUAGUGGGAUUUUGUAACUCACAACUUAGAUCUCUUUUCAUGUGUAAGCCAUAUUCUAUAUGCAUAUUAGGUAUGCAUUUUAAUUUAAGAUAUAUUUGUGCAUAGACUGUGUAUAAGAUGCUUUUAAAUGUUCUGUGAAUAAGUUCCUUAGAUUUUGUUUCACCUGAAGCAUAUGUAGAACACAGCUAAAUAAUUGAAUUGGGGCUUCCCUGGUGGCGCAGUGGUUGCGCGUCCGCCUGCCGAUGCAGGGGAACCGGGUUCGCGCCCCGGUCUGGAAGGAUCCCACAUGCCGCGGAGCGGCUGGGCCCGUGAGCCAUGGCCGCUGAGCCUGUGCGUCCGGAGCCUGUGCUCCGCAACGGGAGAGGCCGCAGCAGAGGGAGGCCCGCAUACCACAAAAAAAAAAAAAAAAAAAUUGAAUUGUAUCAUAGACAUUAUAAUGCAAUUGAUAUUUUAAAUGUAAGCAGUAAAGAUUGAUCUAUAAUGAUGUGUUGGGGAAAAUUUAUAGAUAUGUACAUCAUGGUGACUUUUUGUCCUACAAUGGAUUUCUUAUUUCUAUUUAUGGAGAAACUGCAACUACUGCUUUUAAUGUCUUUUUUAAGGUAGCUAUUUACAAGCUAGAAAAUAUUCUGCAUUUAAGCUUAGAAUAUGACUGUCAGGGAAGUCUAAUUACUAUUGUUCCUAUUUGAGCCAGGUGUCUCUCAGUAAAGCUAUAGAGUCUCUCAACAGAGAAAUAAAUUUAAACACUGCUUCUUAAUUGUCAUAAGAAACAUGUCCACUUUGUUCCCAUUAAUACUUUAAGAUAUAUAGACUAUUACUAAAAAAAAGAGGAAUAUAAUGAAGUCAUUAUUUUCUGUAUAUGGGGUUUAACCUAAUUUUCCAGGUUAUGUAAUUUAUAAAGCACUGUGACGGAACUUCCAGGGGAGUGGAGAAAACUCGCUCCAUCUCUUCAGAAGAGUUGUCACGCUAUUGAAGCACUUUUUUCCCCCUAAUCUCCCUCCCUCACUCCCUCUUUUGCUCCUUCCCCUCCCUUCUCUCCUGCUCUCCUUUGUAUCUGCCUUAUUCCUUCCUCCUCUCUCUCUCUCUAAGACAGGCACUAAUUCAUGUUAAUUAGCAGGAAGUCAGAGCAGAGGGUACCAGUGCUCAUCCCUUCUGCCAACAUCAAUGUUGAAUCCAUCCUAAAGAGAGGGAUGGAUGAAUUAGGCUGCUGAGCCUUAAAUGGCCUGCUCUGUAUUUGUAUCCUCAGCUACUCAACGUAUAUCUAACAAUUUCAUAUGCCUUUUUAUUUAGCUGGUAUCUCUUUUAUUUAAUUUUUAACAUGACAAGCUACAAUUCUUGUGUUUUUAUUCUGUAAUUCUCUGUAUUUCCUAUUGUAUAUGAUUGUUAAAUAAAUCAUACCUGAGGGAAAAUAUCAUGAACCAUUUGG